AUCCCAUGGUGAGGGCAUCUACGAAGUAACUCCUUGAAUCUUUCCCUUGCCUCGUAAGGAGACUCAUCAUCCAUUUGCCAAAAAGUGGCGAUCUCAUUCCGUAACUUU
Gossypium raimondii (Peruvian cotton) is the source of this 108-nucleotide small nucleolar RNA. It matches the Rfam family "Plant small nucleolar RNA R71". From Rfam's summary of the family: R71 is a member of the C/D box family of snoRNAs containing the C (UGAUGA) and D (CUGA) box motifs. Multiple nearly identical copies of this snoRNA have been identified in Arabidopsis, and it is thought to function as a 2'-O-ribose methylation guide for 18S ribosomal RNA. The record is from Rfam. Lineage: Eukaryota; Viridiplantae; Streptophyta; Magnoliopsida; Malvales; Malvaceae.